This 216-nucleotide long non-coding RNA is filed under the name Eucalyptus grandis. RNAcentral describes it as "long non-coding RNA (EGRA_LNC007802)". The record is from RNAcentral. Lineage: Eukaryota; Viridiplantae; Streptophyta; Magnoliopsida; Myrtales; Myrtaceae.
UGGGAAGGAGAAGCUUGGAUGGCGAGGUCGUUGCCAACGCGGGAGAGGCAAGUGAUGGAGCGAGCCAAGGUCUUCAAUGCGUUGCCGCUCAGGGUGAACUCCAUUUUUUGAGCUCUUCGCCUUCCUCUCUGCAGCGACGCUACAGAUUUUUAUGAGGGGGUCGCUGAAAAAUUGGCGGGAUUGGAAGAAGACGACGCUUUGGGUCUUUGGCUCGGG